GUGAGGAAUCUUAGACAAUGGGCGCAAGCCUGAUCUAGCCAUGCCGCGUGAGUGAUGAAGGCCCUAGGGUUGUAAAGCUCUUUCAGCUGGGAAGAUAAUGACGGUACCAGCAGAAGAAGCCCCGGCUAACUCCGUGCCAGCAGCCGCGGUAAUACGGAGGGGGCUAGCGUUGUUCGGAAUUACUGGGCGUAAAGCGCGCGGAGGCGGACCAGAAAGUUGGAGGUGAAAUCCCAGGGCGAAACCUUGGAACUGCCUUCAAAACUCCUGGUCUGGAGUUCGAGAGAGGUGAGUGGAAUUCCGAGUGUAGAGGUGAAAUUCGUAGAUAUUCGGAGGAACACCAGUGGCGAAGGCGGCUCACUGGCUCGAUACUGACGCUGAGGUGCGAAAGCGUGGGGAGCAAACAGGAUUAGAAACCCUUGUAGUCC
This 425-nucleotide ribosomal RNA is filed under the name uncultured bacterium. RNAcentral's name for it is "partial 16S ribosomal RNA". It matches the Rfam family "Bacterial small subunit ribosomal RNA", at positions 354 to 796 of the family's 1533-position model. The record is from RNAcentral.